Camponotus floridanus (Florida carpenter ant) is the source of this 971-nucleotide long non-coding RNA. RefSeq lists it as uncharacterized. The record is from RefSeq and is a predicted model, not a curated record. Lineage: Eukaryota; Metazoa; Arthropoda; Insecta; Hymenoptera; Formicidae. The transcript has 4 exons.
CUCUUUCGUGAUCUGCAAACUCCACCCUCAAAGAUCGUAUCGUUUGCACGGAAGCCCGCAUUAAGGCAGGCACUUCUGUCGUUAUAUCGAUAAUCACGAGCAUAAGAUAUUUGGAACGUGCUUGCAGUUCGAGCAGUUUCCUUAAUUGAAUUUAAGUAGAUGGAACGCUCAGUGAUGGCAAUAUCAAAUUUCAUGCGGCUAAAAUUGACAUUGUGUGCGCUUUGCGUUCAUGCAAAAUGCGAAAAGAUCAUUCAUCAUUCCGCAUAAUGUGCAGUUGAGUCCAGAGAACAUGGAAAACGUCACAGGAAGUGGAUCCUGAGAAUACUUUCAAACUAUUUUCUUCACGACGUUAGCAAAAACGCAAAGUGCGGUUGCUUUCGGCACAAUUGAUCGUUGCGCAACGUGUGAUCCCAUUUAUCAAAGUUUUGCGACAAUCGUAAAGUCUGCGGCAAUUUUUGUUUUGAAAAACUUUAUUUUGCAUAAUCAAGGUAUGCGCGUAAUGCAAUACAAAGACUGCUUUAUUUCGACCGUUAUGAUUGACUAGAAAUUGUUCUGAGUCGCAAUUGUGUAUUAAGAUCAUCUGUAUUUAAUCAUUCAUAUUAAAAUCAACUAUGCUAACUUUUAAAAAGUAAUAAUGCAAGAUAUAUUUUAUUUGUAUAAAAUCGCCUAAUCAGGAACCAAGAAAAUAUGAAAAGUGAUAACUUAAAAUUCAUACAUACAAACGCAAUCAAUUUCUUUUUGAUUUAUAUAGAGAGUUAUAUACCAUGUGGCAAUGAAAUGGUCUGCCUCUUGCCGCAGGAAAAUAUAUUGUUCUAUAUGAUACAUGUCCCGCGGGAAACUCAUCUGUGAGUGUUUGCAAACAUAUUUAGAGUCAUAGCACAUUGUGAAAACAAUAAAAGUUGCCGAAUUAUUUUAAUAAUAAAUCAAAGCUGUCGAUAUUGUUUCAAGAUUCUUCCCACAAUAUUUAUAAU